This 71-nucleotide transfer RNA is filed under the name Loxodonta africana (African savanna elephant). It matches the Rfam family "tRNA". Rfam says of the family: Transfer RNA (tRNA) molecules are approximately 80 nucleotides in length. Their secondary structure includes four short double-helical elements and three loops (D, anti-codon, and T loops). The record is from Rfam by way of RNAcentral. Lineage: Eukaryota; Metazoa; Chordata; Mammalia; Proboscidea; Elephantidae.
ACAUUGGUGGUUCAGUGUUAGAACUCUUGCUUUCCUUGCAGGAGAGCCAGGUUUGAUUCCCAGCCAAUGCG